RNAcentral lists this ribosomal RNA (475 nucleotides) under uncultured bacterium. Its description in RNAcentral is "partial 16S ribosomal RNA". It matches the Rfam family "Bacterial small subunit ribosomal RNA", at positions 28 to 507 of the family's 1533-position model. The record is from RNAcentral.
GACGAACGCUGGCGGCGGGCCUAACACAUGCAAGUCGAACGAAGAGCGAUGGAGGCUUGCUUCGCGCAAGCGUGGGGGCGAACGGGUCAAUAACGCGUUUUUAACCUGGGCAUCAGGGGGGGACAAAGGUUGAAAACCACUGCUAUUACAGCAAACGAUCGAAUCCCUAUUUUAAAGAUAGCGGUAAGAGAUGAGUAUGCGUUCUAUUAGCUAGUUGGAGAGGUAACGGGUCCCCAAGGCGACGAGAGAUAGGGGUUCUGAGAGGGAUGUCCCCCACACUGGUACUGAGAUACGGACCAGACGCCUACGGGAGGCAGCAGUGAGGAAUAUUGGACAAUGGUCGGAAGACUGAUCCAGCCAUGCCGCGUGCAGGAUGACGGCCUUAUGGGUUGUAAACUGCUUUUGUAAGGGAAGAAUAAGGAGUACGGGUACUUUGAUGACGGUACCUUACGAAUAAGCAUCGGCUAACUCCGUG